GGCUGGGGUAUAGGUAUAGGCCUGGGGUAUAGGACUAAGGUUUAGGUAUAGGGCUGGUGUAUAGGUUUAGGGCUGGGAUUUAGGGCUGGGGUAUAGGUAUAGGUAUAGGGCUGGGGUAUAGGGCUGUGGCUGGGGUAAAGGGCUAGGGUAAAGGUGUGGGGCUGGGGUAUAGGGAUGGGGGAUGGGUAUAGGGCUGGGGUAUAGGUAUAGGGCUGGGGUACAGGGCUGGGGUAUAGGGCUGAGGUUUAGGUAUAGGGCUGGGGUAUAGUGCUGGGAUAUAUGCCUGAGGUAUAGGGCUGGGGUAUAGGGCUGGGGUAUAGGGCUGGGGUAUAGGGCUGGGGUAUAGGUAUAGAGCUGGGGUAUAGGUAUAGGGCUGGGGUAUAGGGCUGGGGUAUAGGGCUGGGGUAUAGGUAUAGGCCUGGGGUAUAGGGCUAAGGUUUAGGUAUAGGGCUGGUGUAUAGGUUUAGGGCUGGGAUUUAGGGCUGGGGUAUAGGUAUAGGUAUAGGGCUGGGGUAUAGGGCUGUGGCUGGGGUAAAGGGCUAGGGUAAAGGUGUGGGGCUGGGGUAUAG
Molecule: long non-coding RNA, 569 nt
Organism: Oncorhynchus tshawytscha (Chinook salmon)
Lineage: Eukaryota; Metazoa; Chordata; Actinopteri; Salmoniformes; Salmonidae
Source: Ensembl